GAUGAACGCUGGCGGCGUGCCUAAUACAUGCAAGUCGAGCGAACAGAUGAGGAGCUUGCUCCUCUGACGUUAGCGGCGGACGGGUGAGUAACACGUGGAUAACCUACCUAUAAGACUGGGAUAACUUCGGGAAACCGGAGCUAAUACCGGAUAAUAUAUUGAACCGCAUGGUUCAAUAGUGAAAGACGGUUUUGCUGUCACUUAUAGAUGGAUCCGCGCCGCAUUAGCUAGUUGGUAAGGUAACGGCUUACCAAGGCAACGAUGCGUAGCCGACCUGAGAGGGUGAUCGGCCACACUGGAACGGAAACACGGUCCAGACUCCUACGAGAGGCAGCAGUAGGGAAUCUUCCGCAAUGGGCGAAAGCCUGACGGAGCAACGCCGCGUGAGUGAUGAAGGUCUUCGGAUCGUAAAACUCUGUUAUUGGGGAAGAACAAAUGUGUAAGUAACUAUGCACGUCUUGACGGUAACUAAUCAGAAAGCCACGGCUAACUACGUG
This 497-nucleotide ribosomal RNA is filed under the name uncultured bacterium. RNAcentral's name for it is "partial 16S ribosomal RNA". It matches the Rfam family "Bacterial small subunit ribosomal RNA", at positions 28 to 507 of the family's 1533-position model. The record is from RNAcentral.